This 305-nucleotide ribosomal RNA is filed under the name uncultured bacterium. Its description in RNAcentral is "bacterial SSU rRNA". It matches the Rfam family "Bacterial small subunit ribosomal RNA", at positions 338 to 641 of the family's 1533-position model. The record is from RNAcentral.
CCUACGGGGGGCAGCAGUGAGGAAUAUUGGUCAAUGGUCGGGAGACUGAACCAGCCAAGCCGCGUGAGGGAUGAAGGUACAGAGUAUCGUAAACCUCUUUUGUCAGGGAACAAAGGCGGGGACGUGUCCCCGGAUGAGUGUACCUGAAGAAAAAGCAUCGGCUAACUCCGUGCCAGCAGCCGCGGUAAUACGGAGGAUGCGAGCGUUAUACGGAUUUAUUGGGUUUAAAGGGUGCGUAGGCGGACGCUUAAGUCAGCGGUAAAAUUGCGGGGCUCAACCUCGUCGAGCCGUUGAAACUGGGUGCC